CCUAGCCCCCUUCUCAUCUCUUUCUGUGGUUAGUGCUCUGAUGUCCCGACAUAGAUAAUCUUGAAGUAAUUCUUGAUUCUUAGAUCAACUAGAGAACUCUCAGGAAACUUCCUCUCUUCCCACCAAAAACAAUUAUAUAGUUAUCCCUGGGCGAUCUUGGAUCUUAAUUAGUACACUCACGUUCUCUGUGGAAAAUCGAUACUCUGGAAUACUCCCGGGUGAAGGCUACAUCGGUAUCCGUGCGCUUGCAGAUUUUUCUGUUUGCGUUUAAAAUACCCAAC
RNAcentral lists this long non-coding RNA (281 nucleotides) under Sorghum bicolor (sorghum). RNAcentral's name for it is "long non-coding RNA (SBIC_LNC014576)". Lineage: Eukaryota; Viridiplantae; Streptophyta; Magnoliopsida; Poales; Poaceae. The record is from RNAcentral.